GACCCCAAAAGAUGUUCUCGACAGAGACUUUCACGGAUCACUUUACGGAUUGCGUCAAAACAAUAUAGAAAGAACUAACCACUUCACUUUUGUGUUUGUAACAAACAAAAAUAACCCAUCUAUAUUGUUAUAGUAACCAAAAAAGAAACACUUACAGACAAUAACAACCAGUGACCAAGUUUCGGGUUUGGACUAGCGCACAAAUAUAUAAAUUUAGAGGGGUAAUUAACAAGAAAAUACUAAUCCCGCCUGAUUUCAACUCAUAAAUGUUUGCAUCUAAUCUCAGGGUAAUUUCAUCCAUAGUGAAAUGUUCUAAGGCAGACUUGGUGCCUAAACUAAUAACAGACUUUCAA
This 353-nucleotide long non-coding RNA is filed under the name Mytilus galloprovincialis (Mediterranean mussel). Lineage: Eukaryota; Metazoa; Mollusca; Bivalvia; Mytilida; Mytilidae. The record is from RNAcentral.